Molecule: long non-coding RNA, 416 nt
Organism: Cyanistes caeruleus (blue tit)
Lineage: Eukaryota; Metazoa; Chordata; Aves; Passeriformes; Paridae
Source: RefSeq, a predicted model, not a curated record
CUGGGAUGAACUUCUAAACACCUGCUGUGGUUGAAACUGUUCUUACAUCAUCUCCUGUACACAGUGACUUUAAUCACAUGAAAUCAUGAGAGGAGGCUUCACCCAAUUCCUGGUCAUUUGGGUAGCACCAAUGGAAUUCAUCCAGAGUAAUACAUUUUGUAGAGCUCCUGUAAAGGUGAGAUCAGAAUCAGGUCCACUGUCUCCAGGUAGGUCCAAGGUAUGCUAAUUGUCAAUAUUAAGAUUCUAAAACUUUCUUGGAUAAACUGUAAUAUAACUUUUCUUACCUAUAAAGCUUCAUGAAUGUUCAGCAUGGUUUCUGGGUAGAGAUCACAUCAGCUCCACAGUUAUUAAUUUACAGAUUUCUCACUAACCUUAGCUCAGCUCUGGGAAUGGUGCCAGCACAAUUACGGUAACUC